UUUUAUUAAAUGUUAUUUAAUGUUGCUCCAUUAUGUGUUCAAUAAUAAAAAUAUGGGGGGAAACCAGUUCUCUUCCAUCUAUUCAGUAGAUCAUAAUUCAUAAUUUAGCCCUCUUAGAGGGCUAAAAGACAUGGGAUCCAGAUUCAGCUCUAGAUCAAUCAUUUACUGCAAUUUAACCUUUGGAAAGUAAUUUAACCUAAGAUUCAAUUUUCAUUGUUUUCAUUGUUGUUACUCUUGAGAAAAAGAGUUCAUCAGAGGAGGAAGCAGGGGAGCCCUGGUAGAGUCAAUAUUGGAUUCUAGAAGUAACUUGGAUAAAAGACCAUUCUGAUCAAAGACAAACUCCCCAUGGAACCAGCUGCCCAACAGAUGUCUCACAGCCACUGUUCACAUUAACUCCUGAUUGCCUGCUAGAUGGAAAACAAGCUUCCAGCGACUCAAUCACAAAACCUGAGUCCUACAGCACUUCUCUGAUUAAGCGUACUUGGAAGAGUAAGUCGCCUCCUGUAAGACUGUCGCUAAAGAAGUCUUGAAAGUACUGGAUUGUGGCAAACUGCUGAAGAGAAAAAUCAUAACAUCUCCUUAGAAGAUGGCAAUAUUUACAUGCAAAGAGGGGGAAAAGGUUCUUUUAAUCUCUUAUUUAAGGCAGAAUAUGGACACUUUAAAGGACCUAUGAAAACCCCCUCAUUUAAUCUUGGUUUGAUGAAAAAAUACAUCCAAUCUCCAAGGUGAGGUUCAUACAGAACCGUCUGGAAAACUGAGUUAAAAAAACAUUGUUUCCAAAAGAAAAUCCCAUAUCAAGAUCAAUACCCUUACUCCAUCUCACCCCAUCUUCUGUCCCUCACCCCAUGGGUUGAGGCUUUGGCCCCUGACAUAAAGACUGCCAGAGUCUGAAUCUC
This is a long non-coding RNA of Herpailurus yagouaroundi (jaguarundi), 896 nucleotides long. RefSeq lists it as uncharacterized. The record is from RefSeq and is a predicted model, not a curated record. The transcript is spliced from 2 exons. NCBI's taxonomy places the organism in Eukaryota, Metazoa, Chordata, Mammalia, Carnivora, Felidae.